AACCAUAGAAACCUGCGGAGUACCUGCGGAAGGAUCAUUAUUGAUUUUCUAAAGAUGUGCUGGCAAACCCCUUCAGGUUUGCAUGUGCACUCUACAAAAUCUUCCUUCUUUACCCCAUUGUGCACACUUCAGUAGGCAAAGACAGAUUUCACAGAUCAAUCUGUGCAAAUCUAUUUGCCUAUGCUUUUAUCAAACACCAUUAACACUUUUAGAAUGAUGUAUAAGUAAGCUUUUAAUAAG
Molecule: unclassified non-coding RNA, 240 nt
Filed under: soil metagenome
Description: partial contains 5.8S ribosomal RNA, internal transcribed spacer 2, and large subunit ribosomal RNA
Source: RNAcentral